Molecule: ribosomal RNA, 114 nt
Filed under: Dehalococcoidia bacterium
Lineage: Bacteria; Bacillati; Chloroflexota; Dehalococcoidia
Also listed under: 2 other names
Source: RNAcentral
GAAGACGACCAUAAUAACUUGGAAACGCCCCUUACCAUUCCGAAUAGGGAAGCUAAGCAGGUUAUGUUGUGGAAAUAGUUUCCGAAGGGAAGUGAAAUUCACGAGUUGUCUUUC